UACUCACUGCCGCCGGUUCACUCCUCCUCAUCCUCGCCUGCUCGCCGCGGUGCACUCCUUCUCCUCCUCCUCGCCGCCCUUCGUCACCAUCCAUGGCCGUUACCACCAUGGCCGAGUUCCCACCCUCCAUCACCGCUACCACCGUCGCCGACACCUUAAUCAUCAUAUAUCUGUUCAAAACAUCAGGUGCCCUUCCAAAUCGUAACAAAUAACUCGAUCUUCGUCGCCUUGUGUCCCUCAAAAUGACAAAUCCACAAGAAAUAGGAGUAUGGUUUCAUGAAGUGCCUAAUCCAAUUUAUUACAAAUUGGAGUAUCACCACAAUGACACCGUGAUAGUGGAGUUUAGGAUGAACUCCAACCUCAGAAGAGCCCUCCACAUCAAAUCCUUCUACCAAAGGUAUCUCAUGACGUUGAAGAGCCACAUUAGGAUCGUUGAUCCUGACAAGACAGCCAAGAAUAUUAGAUUUAGAAUUUUAAUUUGGUUAAAGUCUUUUGGUGUAAUUUCUUUGUCUUGUUUUCAUAUUGCUAUUCAGAAGACUCUGAAUCCGUUUUGUAAAUCUAUCGAUCAAAUUUAUAACUACGUAGUUGA
Molecule: long non-coding RNA, 589 nt
Organism: Rhododendron vialii
Lineage: Eukaryota; Viridiplantae; Streptophyta; Magnoliopsida; Ericales; Ericaceae
Exons: 2
Source: RefSeq, a predicted model, not a curated record